UUGCAGAUCGUCUUACACUGAGUCACUGUUUUUUCUUUUAUACGUCUGUGGGUCACUAUCGCUUCAGCUCUGUUUACACUCGAGCAAAUCUUUUCUUUGGUGGCUUUUUUUUUUUUUAAAUCAAGUCAUUUAUUGAUUCAGACUUAAGAAAUGGAAGAGGAGAGCAAAUCACUGACUGGUUAUUUUCUCUCAUUGCAGGUGGUGGCUGGUGCGUGUGCAGCCGCGGUCCUUGCAGUGAUUGAGGGCGCCGCGAAGUGUCGGCGUCCGUGACGGAGCAGACAUCCAGACAUCUGGGUCUAACAUUUAUCUGAAGAGGGAAGAAGCCAGCCAGGAGGAAACCACAGGACUGUGACCUCAGAUCACCGCGAGAGAGAAAAGCAUCACAUCAGCUGUCACAUCUGAAAGCAGCAGUGAGGAUCCAGAUGAAACAACCUGAAACACCUCUGAGGAAGAAGAGACUGCAGCCUGGACUGUCAAAGGAGCCAGACGAUAUGCAAACCAAGAACCCAAACCAGGAAGUGAUGGUGGUAUUCAAAGCUCCGUCGCCAUGCGCAGGUUGUGGGUGCAGGAAGUGACAUCACUGAUGCUCCAGAACAUUGGGCAGUUGUAGACCUCCAGGAAGUUCAGGGGACCAGCAGACCAGACAAGCCCCAGCAGGGUGCUUCCUCCUGGGCACAGAGGGACCACCGGCGCCUUGGUCCUACUGGCGCUCCGGAGAGAAAAUCCUGAACCUGAUUAAAGAAGGUCAACCGUACUGUGCCGAACAAUGGGCGGGAUCAUACCACUCUGUCUGUGUGUGAGAACUUUCUCAGGAGGUAAUCAACAAAUUCAGAUUAUAGCUGUGUGUGUGUGUGUGUGUGUGUGGGUUUAUCAUCACUAUCUCCACAGCAGCUCAGACUCUACACUGAUAAUCUGAUGGUACACAGAUACACGAUGUGGGUGUUGUUGUAGCGAUAACGUCCCUUUGUUAACAGCCGCGGCGAUAAACAUCAUCAUGGCAUGAGUUUAUUUUGUGUUUGUGAUCAGGAUGUGCGUGCGUGCCUCUCGCCACAUAUCACUAAAUAUUAGACACGCCUACAAAUAAAAAAUGAUUUCUAGCAUAUACACACUUUAGUAUUGGUCUGUGCAGUAUUUAUACAUGCCAUCAUCAAACACACACACACACAGAAACAAUACUCACGGCUUAAAUAACCUGUCACAACACCACAGAGAGGAGAGAGAAAAGAGCAGCUGAGGUGGAGGUAAAGAAGGAUGGAGCAACUAAAAGUCAUUUCCACUAUCAAUAAAUAUAUCAAUAUCAUUUUUUCCAUUAAACGAACAGGUUAACAUUUGGGGAAAUGUGCUUAUUUGCUGUUUUUAGUGAGAGUGAGAUGAUAUUUGAUUCAUUGUUUGGACAAAACAAAACCCAAAGAUCUUUAAACCUCAAGUUUAAAUAAAUUAAACCAUCAAAUCUUUGCUUGAAAAUGACUUGAAACGAAAGCGGUGUUUAGCCUAGCUUAGCGUAAAUACUGAAGGCAGGGGAGGAACGCUAGCCUUUAAUCAUUCAAUCAAUAAAAUAUCCAUCACACGUUACCAGUGCCACGUCUUUAUACUGCUCACUUUGUCCAAAACCCAAAGAUACUCAAUUUACAAUCAUAAUAAACAAGGAAAAGCAGCGUGUUUGGCAGUUUUUCUUGAUAACUGAAGUGAUUAAUGGAUGAUCAAAAUGCAGAUGCUGAAGAUCUGUCAACUAACUGAUUAAUUAUUUAGGCACUACGUUAUUAAAUUACAGCAAAGAAGCGAUGAAUCCAAGAACAAAGGGAGAAAGUGUGUGUGAAUG
This is a long non-coding RNA of Seriola aureovittata, 1819 nucleotides long. RefSeq lists it as uncharacterized. Lineage: Eukaryota; Metazoa; Chordata; Actinopteri; Carangiformes; Carangidae. The transcript is spliced from 6 exons. The record is from RefSeq and is a predicted model, not a curated record.